UGCGGAGGGUGCGAGCGUUGUCCGGAAUCAUUGGGCGUAAAGGGCGCGUAGGUGGCCCGGUCAGUUCGUGGUGAAAGCGCGGGGCUCAACCCUGCGUCGGCCAUGAAUACUGCCGCGGCUGGAGCCCUGUAGAGGCAGGCGGAAUUCCGGGUGUAGCGGUGGAAUGCGUAGAGAUCCGGAAGAACACCUGAGGCGAAGGCGGCUUGCUGGGCAUGAUCUGACGCUGAGGCGCGAAAGCGUGGGGAGCAAACAGG
This 254-nucleotide ribosomal RNA is filed under the name uncultured bacterium. RNAcentral describes it as "partial 16S ribosomal RNA". It matches the Rfam family "Bacterial small subunit ribosomal RNA", at positions 524 to 776 of the family's 1533-position model. The record is from RNAcentral.